GGUCAUCAUAGCCUUCAUUAUUAUGUAUAUUCAUUAGCACCGUUGUAAUUCACAAUAACAUGAUCCUUCUAAUGUUGUAUUCUUUCUUAAGUGCAGUUAAGAAGAUACGAGGAUUUCCGGGUGGGAAAGUGACUGAAGUACCAGUGUCAGAAAACAGUGACCACAAUUUACUCCAAUGAAUAAAAGAUGUAAUGUGACAGAAGUGCUCUUGUCAGCCACUAGGAUCAGCAAUGUGAAAACAACAAUUCCGAACUUUGUAUUUGUAAGUAGAUUUGAAAUUUAUUUGACCAAACAAACUAGAAGAGAAUAAAUGGUGAUAAAUAUGUGAUAAGCUUCACUUGCCAAUGCUGAAAACUCUUACUUUCUUUUCAAACAGAUGCCAAUGGCAUUGAAG
RNAcentral lists this long non-coding RNA (394 nucleotides) under Lepisosteus oculatus (spotted gar). RNAcentral's name for it is "lncRNA (ENSLOCG00000023028.1)". The record is from RNAcentral. Lineage: Eukaryota; Metazoa; Chordata; Actinopteri; Semionotiformes; Lepisosteidae.